GAUGAAGAACGCAGCGAAAUGCGAUAAGUAAUGUGAAUUGCAGAAUUCAGUGAAUCAUCGAAUCUUUGAACGCACAUUGCGCCCCCUGGUAUUCCGGGGGGCAUGCCUGUUCGAGCGUCAUUUCAACCCUCAAUCUCUGCUUGGUAUUGAGUCCAUGUCAGCAAUGGCAGGCUCCAAAAUCAGUGGCGGCGCCGCUGGGUCCUGAACGUAGUAAUAUCUCUCGUUACAGGUGCUCGGCGUGCUUCUGCCAAAACCCCAAUUUUUCUAUGGUUGACCUCGGAUCAGGUAGGGAUACCCGCUGAACUUAAGCAUAUCAAUAAGCGGAGGA
Molecule: unclassified non-coding RNA, 328 nt
Filed under: soil metagenome
Description: partial contains 5.8S ribosomal RNA, internal transcribed spacer 2, and large subunit ribosomal RNA
Rfam family: 5.8S ribosomal RNA (bases 1-120)
Source: RNAcentral